UAUUAAUAAAUAAUUUUAACGCACGAAACUAUUAAGUACCAUGUAUAACAAAACAAUAUAAAUAUAAAACACGUAGAAACUGUAAUUUCAACGACGCACUUCUGCCGCAACGAUUAAAACAAGAACAAUCAACAACGCCAAUUUCACAGACUUAAUGGCUCUUGGAGCUGUGCACUACUGUUUUGUAAAUUGGAAUCUUAAUUGGAAUAGGCUUCGCCACUGGAACAGGAAUAUGUUUCACUAUAGUGAAUGGAACAGGCUUCUCAAUUUUCACUGGAAUGAUUUUUUCGACGGGCGUGGGUUAAAUAUUUAAAAAACACUUCAAGGAAUGAUGAAAUUUUAAUCGAGAGUAUUUACCGGAUAUGGAACAGGUUUCUGUACGAACACUGGAACUGGAUAACUCUGUGGAAUAUGUUGAACCUGCAG
RNAcentral lists this unclassified non-coding RNA (426 nucleotides) under Bombus terrestris (buff-tailed bumblebee). Its description in RNAcentral is "misc RNA ENSBTSG00005027137.1". The record is from RNAcentral. Lineage: Eukaryota; Metazoa; Arthropoda; Insecta; Hymenoptera; Apidae.